This is a long non-coding RNA of Carassius gibelio (silver crucian carp), 1315 nucleotides long. RefSeq lists it as uncharacterized. The record is from RefSeq and is a predicted model, not a curated record. The transcript has 3 exons. NCBI's taxonomy places the organism in Eukaryota, Metazoa, Chordata, Actinopteri, Cypriniformes, Cyprinidae.
UUUGCCAUUUCAAAACACUACCAUUCAAAAUGACACUACAUGAGCUACUUGGCUAAUUACAUGUGCCACCUGGCCAAACACCUCAAUGGUUAAUUGUUAACACUUAAAUCAGGAUGUAAGCACUAUGAAAACCUUUAGACUGGAGAACAGGAUUGAGAGACGAAACCAUGGUGGAGGAAGGGGCCAAAUGUUCACCGGGGUACAGGAAGCUGCCAUUGUAAACUUGGUUUUGGAAAAUAAUGAAAUCAGAUUAUGAGAAUUUCAAACCACACCAUCCAAGACAACACCUUAUUUAACAACAUUCAACGAGUCAGUCUGUCCACAUUGGCUCGCAUUCUCAAGCGAAACCAAAUCAGAAUGAAACAAGAGUUCAGACGAGCAUAUGUGUAUGGAGUACUGUAAAUGGAUGCUCUUGCAAUCCCACAUGAGUUAAUCUUUAUAGAUGAGGUUGGGUUCAACCUAGCAAAGACCUGAAGAAGUGGGAGAAACAUCAUUGGCCACAGAGCCAUUGUAGAUGUUCCUGGCCAACGUGGUGGGAACAUCACAAUGUGCCCUGCCAUCUCCAGUAUGCAUUGUGUCCUCCACCGUCAUGCCAACCUUGCACCAUACAACACCGCCCAUAUUCUCACAUUUCUGGACUGACUUAACAAAAUUCUCAUACCACCAGAGCGUAUGAAUGAUGCAAACCAUCAAAGAAACCGGUACGUUGUAGUAUGGGACAACGUGAGCUUUCAUCGUGCAGCCCCAGUCCAAAACUUGUUUGCUGACCAACCAACAUUUCUCGUGCAAUACCUUCCACCAUACUCACCAUUUCUGCACCCCAUAGAAGAGUUUUUUUUUUUCUGCAUGGCAGUGGAAGGUAUACGACCCGCAGCUCUUUGUGCACAUGCCUCUUGUGCAGGCCAUGGAAGAGGCAUGUGAUGAGAUUGAUGUGGGUGCAAUUCAGGGAUGGAUAAGGCACUCAAGGUGCUUCUUCCCUCAAUGUCUGGCAAGGGAAGAUAUUGCCUCUGAUGUUGGCGAGGCGUUGUCUGUGCAUGUGAACAGUCUGAUACAUAUUUUCGUAUUAUGGCAAAGCAUACUAAAGAUGGGGGUGCCUUUCAUUAUGCCCAACAGUGGUAGUUGGUUAGGCAAAAAUCUGUAAUAUGAAUUGUGUGUGUGUGCCAUUUCAUGCAAAAGUUUGUCCUUGAUAAUGCUAUGUAGUUUCAAUUGCAGUGCUUCAUUUUGCAGAAUAUAUGAGGUAUUUUGCAGUUUGUGUUUGUGGUUUUGUGAAUUGUGUUAAUUAUUUUGAUAAAACCAGACUAGUAUGAAAAAUUGU